UACGUAGGGGGCAAGCGUUAUCCGGAUUUACUGGGUGUAAAGGGAGCGUAGACGGCAGUGCAAGUCUGGAGUGAAAGGCGGGGGCUCAACCCCCGGACUGCUCUGGAAACUGUACGGCUGGAGUGCAGGAGAGGUAAGUGGAAUUCCUAGUGUAGCGGUGAAAUGCGUAGAUGUUAGGAGGAACACCAGUGGCGAAGGCGGCUUACUGGACUGUAACUGACGUUGAGGCUCGAAAGCGUGGGGAGCAAACAGG
Molecule: ribosomal RNA, 253 nt
Filed under: uncultured bacterium
Lineage: Bacteria
Description: partial 16S ribosomal RNA
Rfam family: Bacterial small subunit ribosomal RNA
Source: RNAcentral